This 214-nucleotide ribosomal RNA is filed under the name uncultured bacterium. RNAcentral describes it as "partial 16S ribosomal RNA". It matches the Rfam family "Bacterial small subunit ribosomal RNA", at positions 1279 to 1500 of the family's 1533-position model. The record is from RNAcentral.
AAGCCGUUCUCAGUUCGGAUCGGAGUCUGCAACCCGACUCCGUGAAGCUGGAUUCGCUAGUAAUCGCGCAUCAGCCAUGGCGCGGUGAAUACGUUCCCGGGCCUUGUACACACCGCCCGUCAAGCCAUGGAAGCCGGGGGCGCUUGAAGUGCGUUGCCGCAAGGCGCGCCCUAGAGCGAAACCGGUGACUGGGGCUAAGUCGUAACAAGGUAAC